Molecule: long non-coding RNA, 2062 nt
Organism: Mauremys reevesii (Reeves's turtle)
Lineage: Eukaryota; Metazoa; Chordata; Testudines; Geoemydidae
Exons: 3
Source: RefSeq, a predicted model, not a curated record
GGAGAAGGACAUCUCUCACAAGCUGCUGGAGUGCAGACCUGACAGCAACCACUACAGUGCCUGAGAUCUGGAAGGACUGCCAGAGCUGCCAGUCACUGAAGACACCGAGGAAUUGCUGGGGCUGCUCUGAUCCAUUUAUCCCUGUGAGACAGACAAUGACCCAGGGCAGAGCCUCCUGACUGUGCUACCCUGCUGAGUGGCAGAGACCCUGGUGUUAAUUCCCCCCUAAACUGUGCCCUUCCAGAGGACUUGUAGUGAGGCGGCAUGGCCUCCGUCCCAGACAGAUGGAGGGACAACUGUGACCACCUUACAAAGACUCAUUGUGUUCCCAGAAACACUGUUGUAAAGAGCAGCUGUCUUGGAGUGACAGACUGGGCAUGUUGAUGAACCCAAAUGGAAGUGAGGCCAGGAAGUCAAAAAAAACCAGCCUGUCCCCAGGCUUCUGAAUACAUCCUUACUCAUGGGGUACCGACUGAUGAACACUUCUUUAAUCCAUCUGUAGUUGGCUGUAUUAAUCUAGUGUUGCUUAUUUCAUGGCCUUUCUUUUCCCUUUUAACAUGUGAUGUAUUCGUUAACAAUCCCCCAAACACCCAUAGUCCAGAAAACUGACUGUCUUGGCUACAAGGUUAGCUGCACCUUGUCUUUCUCUGAGUGCAUCUCUCAGAUGACCAGUCUCAAGCUCUUGCUUCUCUUGGCAUGGACUCGUGCAGUUCUCGCAUUCUUCACACAGGACCUGGGUUACAGAUCCCUAUAUACUGGCCAUGAUUACUUCAACAGGCCCAACUUGAGUUCAGUACCUGAAGAUCUGCCCUUUGUGAACUGUGACCAGUGCUAUAUAUAAGGAAUUGUAUAUCAAGGCUAUAUUGCAUGUAGCCUCUAAACAAAUUAUUGUUGAUUCUUAACAGUAGGACCCCACAUAACAUAAAGGAACAAGGAUUUCAAAAUAAUAAAAGUCUAUUUACCCAGAUAUCCCUCCCCCAAUGUUGGCCAGGUAGGUUCAACUGCUUCAGACUCUCUCCAUGGACCCUCUCUCUGAGGCAGCCUGCUCCCCCUGACAACUGACCAGUCUUUCUAGAGAGAGCAACUUUUUAACUGUUUCCUGUCCUUUUGAUCUUCAGCUCCCAUCCCUAGUAAAAUAGGUCUUUUUAUUUUGCUGGAGCCAAGGUGGGUAGGCUUGCCCCAAUUAAUAGCCUAGUCAAUGUUCUCUUAACUCCAAAGUGUUUUACCUGGAAUGUCUUAUCUCUAGUCAUUUUCAUUCCGUGCUUUGUUUUUCCUAGCAGCCCCUUUUGACUUAACUCCAUACAGUCAGACAGUAAACAGCCCUUACAGCACUUGGACAAAAUAUAGUAUUCACUAAUUAAUACAGAGCAGUUGCACGUUCUUCUUAUUUACAGUCAGGUUGUUAAUGAAUCCCCCUCCAGUUCUCCUACCCAAAACCUUGACAAACUCUCAAAACAAACCUAUUUUAAGGCUUUUUUAUUAAAACCUCAAGUUUUUCCAUGUGGUUCCAUAAAUUUAUCUCUUAAAUAAUCAUUAGAAAGUAAUAAUAAAUCAUCAGGAUUGUAGUUAUUUAAUAAAUUGUCUUUCUAUUGCCUUGCUAGCCUGUUUGGCCUAGUCUGGGAAAGGAAAGCCCUGGGCGCUGUUUGACAUAGCGUGGUCACAAAGAUCCCUACAUUGUUUAGAGCAGGAAAAUAGGUGAUGUUAGAAUGUGUAAGUGAAUGCAUUUUAACUAACAUAUCUUAAAACCUAGCAGGGAGCAAGGUUGGCCUUGUGAUUAAAGCACUGAACUGGUACUUGGGAGAUCUGGAGUCAUUCCCAGCUCUGUCCACAGACAUCUGAUGGGACCUUGAGAAAGUCACUCAAUCUCUGUGUGCCUCUUUACCCAAUCCGUAAAAAGUGGAUGACAAUACUUUCUCCCUCUUGUCUAAUUAGCCUGUAAACCUUUUAGACAGAGCUUGUCUGUUGUCUUGUAUGUACAACAUCUAGCACAAUGGAGCACUGAUCUUAGUUGGGGCCUCUAAGAUUUUAUAACUGCAAUGCAGUUAUAAAAAUUAGUUAUUAA